GCUGGGUGGAUUAGUGGCGAACGGGUGAGUAACACGUGAGCAACCUGCCCCUCACUCUGGGAUAAGCGCUGGAAACGGCGUCUAAUACUGGAUACGAAACGCAACCGCAUGGUUAGUGUUUGGAAAGAUUUUUUGGUGGGGGAUGGGCUCGCGGCCUAUCAGCUUGUUGGUGAGGUAAUGGCUCACCAAGGCGUCGACGGGUAGCCGGCCUGAGAGGGUGACCGGCCACACUGGGACUGAGACACGGCCCAGACUCCUACGGGAGGCAGCAGUGGGGAAUAUUGCACAAUGGGCGGAAGCCUGAUGCAGCAACGCCGCGUGAGGGAUGACGGCCUUCGGGUUGUAAACCUCUUUUAGCAAGGAAGAAGCGAAAGUGACGGUACUUGCAGAAAAAGCGCCGGCUAACUACGUGCCAGCAGCCGCGGUAAUACGUAGGGCGCAAGCGUUAUCCGGAAUUAUUGGGCGUAAAGAGCUCGUAGGCGGUUUGUCGCGUCUGCUGUGAAAACCGGAGGCUCAACCUCCGGCCUGCAGUGGGUACGGGCAGACUAGAGUGCGGUAGGGGAGAUUGGAAUUCCUGG
Molecule: ribosomal RNA, 578 nt
Filed under: Microbacterium sp.
Lineage: Bacteria; Bacillati; Actinomycetota; Actinomycetes; Micrococcales; Microbacteriaceae
Description: bacterial SSU rRNA
Rfam family: Bacterial small subunit ribosomal RNA
Source: RNAcentral